GAAGUCUUAGCUUAAUUAAAGCAUUUGUUUUGCAUACAAAAGAUGUGGAUUAAGUGUCCGUAGAUUUUA
Molecule: transfer RNA, 69 nt
Filed under: Notholebias minimus
Lineage: Eukaryota; Metazoa; Chordata; Actinopteri; Cyprinodontiformes; Rivulidae
Description: Leptolebias minimus tRNA-Ala
Rfam family: tRNA
About the family: Transfer RNA (tRNA) molecules are approximately 80 nucleotides in length.
Source: RNAcentral